RNAcentral lists this ribosomal RNA (428 nucleotides) under uncultured bacterium. Its description in RNAcentral is "partial 16S ribosomal RNA". It matches the Rfam family "Bacterial small subunit ribosomal RNA", at positions 354 to 796 of the family's 1533-position model. The record is from RNAcentral.
GUGGGGAAUAUUGGGCAAUGGGCGCAAGCCUGACCCAGCAACGCCGCGUGAAGGAAGAAGGCUUUCGGGUUGUAAACUUCUUUUACCAGGGACGAAACAAAUGACGGUACCUGGUGAAUAAGCCACGGCUAACUACGUGCCAGCAGCCGCGGUAAUACGUAGGUGGCGAGCGUUAUCCGGAUUUAUUGGGUGUAAAGGGCGUGUAGGCGGGACAGCAAGUCAGAUGUGAAAACCAGAGGCUCAACCUCUGGCCUGCAUUUGAAACUGUUGUUCUUGAGGGUCGGAGAGGUAAUCGGAAUUCCGUGUGUAGCGGUGAAAUGCGUAGAUAUACGGAGGAACACCAGUGGCGAAGGCGGAUUACUGGACGAUAACUGACGCUGAGGCGCGAAAGCGUGGGGAGCAAACAGGAUUAGAUACCCUAGUAGUCC